Molecule: long non-coding RNA, 2913 nt
Filed under: Cicer arietinum (chickpea)
Lineage: Eukaryota; Viridiplantae; Streptophyta; Magnoliopsida; Fabales; Fabaceae
Description: long non-coding RNA (CARI_LNC002718)
Source: RNAcentral
UUUAUAACAAGUUAAAAAUACACGUAGGACACAACAAAUAAAGGGGCACGCGUGCCAUGAAAGCAAGAACAAAGGCACCCAAAUCACAUUAUAGGAAAAAAGGCACAUAGGCCACAAAUAUAGACAAAAAAAAUAUAUAAAAAAGCACUACUACAAAGUUCAUACAUGAGAUCAAGCUAACAAUCAAACAUCUUCUUCAAUAACCACUCAACUACUCAGUCAUUCAACCAUCUCCCCUUCUAAAUAAGCUUCCUCAGACUUAGUAGGAUCACACACAAGAUUCACAAUUUGACCACUCUUAAUCACUAAGUCAGAGUUUUUACCACUAAAAUCCAAUUUUGGAUGCAAGGUUCGAACCUGUCAAAUUAAUCCACAUUUUCGUUCUCUAAUUUAGGAAUAGAAAUAUUGGAAGCAUCCAAAUCAACUUUCGAAGACGUCAUGAGCCUUGAUGGCCUCCAUUUUAGCGACUUACUCAGCAGAUCUUUUGACAAAGGAAUCAUUCAAUGAAGCAUCAAUUCUACAAAAAAAUUCUCCAAGUUCUUCACUACAUUCUCACAUUCACGAUUCUUCUCUUCAUUGUUCUUCCGCAAUUUUUAGUUUCAUGGGCAAGACCUAACAUACAACAACCCAUAUGCUUCCAUAGCUUUGAGUGAUUGGUAGUGACCUAAACAAUGAACCUUAUCCUCAUCACUAGUGCAAGUAAGUUGACCUGUUACUUCACAGAAAAUAAACUCUCUUUCUAUAGAGAACAAAUAGUUUAUCCCUUCCCUUUCUCAAAUUCCAAGACAGAGCACCAUAGGGGGAAUCAUCAAGAGUUGCACAACAAAUAAAUGGAAAAUAAGUUAUUAUUAAGGUGAGAUUCAAAAUAAAUUUGAAGUUAGGAGCAGUACCAAGAAGUACAAAAAAAGGGGUAAACAAGACAUACGAAGAAGAUAGACAAGUUCAUCUUUUUAUGCCCUACAUUCAGUAAAUCAGAUGCACUAAUGUGGCUCACUAUACUCAAGAUAACAAGGUUAGUCAUCUCCUCCUCUAAGGGGGACAAUUGGGAGAUACCUAUUUCGGAAAUCGUGAUUUUGGUAAAGUGAGAGGAAAAAGAUCUUGACCGUUAACAUCAUAAAAAAUAUGUGUCUAAGUCGAGCGUGAGUGGACAUGAUAAAACUCAAUCUUAAAUUGUUUCCAUGAUCGAAUAAAAGUUCCAAUGAGGUGAUGGAGAGGGAAGUUGCUCACAAAAAGCCAAGUCAUAAAUGUGUUAUUCUUGACUUGGAAGAAAUGCAAUAACUUGCAAAUGGAAGGUUACACAUGCAAAUCUCUGCAUAGAAUUUCAAAGGCUUUCACAAAAGCCCACAUGUUUGGGUGGAGUUGUGAUGAGGCGACAUUAAGGGUACAUAAGAGCUCACAUUGAAAGGAUGAUAAGGGAAGACAUAUUUUGAGCUUAUCGAGAGCCUUGAAUCCUUCAUUAGGUUGUUGCGCACACACCAUUUUGUCAAUAUUGCAUGACAAGAUCUCAAAGCAAUUUUUGCGAGUCAAAUGCUUGUAACAAAGCUGAAAAAAAUUAAAGUUAAGAUAAUAUUAUUUGCGAUGAAGAACAUCUUUAACUACCCACUAAAAACUAUCAUGUGUUCGAGGAGGAAUGGAGAGUGCAUAUGGACCAGGUGAGACAUCUUCUUCAUUGGAGUAUCGACCUCUACUCAUAACAAUCAUUCAAAUAACACAACUUAAAUCAUGAGGAAACAAUUAAGUAGAGAAAGGAAAAGAACACGUGAAUGAGCAUUAAAAGGGGGAUAUUGCGACCAUAUGCAGUAGGGGAGUAAUCGCACAACCAUGUGCCGUGGAGGAGUGAUUGCACGACCAUGUGCAAAAGAAAUGAUCAUGCUAUCACGAACAAUAGAAGGUUAAUCGUGCAACCAUGUGAAUAUGAAGAGGGAUGCUCAACCAUUAUGUAUGCGCUAAUGCAUAACCAAGCCAAGGCGCGCAGAUGGGUGAUCAAGCGUAGGUGUGCGGAUGGAAGAUUUGAAGACUUGUGGACUCGUCCACUCAAUCAAAACUGGAAGAUAUGAAGACUUAUGGACUCACUCAUUUAAUCAAAGCUGGAAGAGUCGAAGACUUGUGGACUCCUCCACUCAGUCACACUUGAAGAUGUAAAAAGUCCAAGAGCAGAAAACUUGUGGACUCCUUCACUCAAUCACACUUGAAGAUUUGAAGAUCCAAUAACAGAAGACUUAUGGACUCCCACACUCAAUCAUACUUGAUGAUUUGAAGGUCCAAGAGCACAAGACUUGUAGACUCCUCCACUCGGUCACACUUGAAGUUGUGAAGAGUCCAAGAGCAUAAGACUUGUGGACUCCUUCACUUGGUCAUACUUAAUGUGAAGAAUCAAGAAGGCAUAUUUGAGCAGCAAGAAAAACUAUGCGACCUAAAGGACUUGCCACUUUGUGGACUAUGGACUGAAUGAAGUAUCCAAGACAAAUAGGACAAACACUAGCCUAAAAUGAAAGUGUUUGGAUAUGGCUCACUGGACUCUUGAAGAACGCAGUUCAUUACAUAGAAUGAUGUGACACUCAACUCAAACAGUUCAUCUCUGUACGAAUGACAGGAUGACAUGAUUGUGCACCCAUGUAGAUGACUAGAUGGAACGUAUGUGCACCUUGUUAACCCUAAGGCAUGGUAGCACACGUAUGUGCAUCCGUACAAAUGACCAAGUGGUGCGUCCAUGCUCCCAGUCAUCCUUGAAGCAAAUGGAACAUCACUAGCUAUAACUAGAGGCUGGACUAAAUGAGUCUAGACAAGGGAGACCAAUUUUCCAAAGAAUAUCUACCUAUAAAAAUGGAAGAGACAAUUAAAGUUAAAGAUCUUUGAAUAUAUUUGUGAAUAAUGUAUUAUUCUUCUAGAUAGCAUCAUGAAAAUACUUUUGUA